Molecule: long non-coding RNA, 718 nt
Organism: Sinocyclocheilus anshuiensis
Lineage: Eukaryota; Metazoa; Chordata; Actinopteri; Cypriniformes; Cyprinidae
Exons: 3
Source: RefSeq, a predicted model, not a curated record
GACUGACGGGGUCGUGUUGUGCCAUCUGGCCAACCACGUGCGUCCCCGAUCCAUACCGAGCAUCCAUGUACCCUCACCAGCAGUGCCCAAACUGACGAUGGCCAAGUGUCGACGAAAUGUGGAGAACUUCCUAGAGGCGUGCCGCAGAAUUGGAGUUCCUCAGGAUAGCUUGUGUUCAGCGGGUGACGUGCUGAAAGGGGAGGUGGUCUGUGUGUUCAGGCUGGUCCAGGCCUUGCUCUCCCUGGCACCGCCUCCCCUUCACUCCGCCCCUUCUACCCAGCUGGCUGGAUUUGCCCUUUUCUACCUGUCAAUCAUGUCGCUGCUAUGUGCUCUCUACUGCCACCUGGUGCCAACCCAUUAAAUGGCUUUUCCAUAUUGAUCACUGCACUAAAAUAGCCAAUUGUUUGUGUGUUUGAGCAGAAUUACACAAUAGGUGGUGUUUAUGCGCACAGAUAUUACAUUUAUAGUGUUUUCUAGUGAUACUUUGCUAAGCUCCGCCCCCUUUGUGUAAUGUUGCCUGCUUUUGACAAGCUUUAUAUAAUUGCUUUCAUGCAAAUUUCAGUAAAGUGUGCUGAUAAAAUGGGACAAAUUGAUUGAAUGGUAUUAUUGCAUAGACUGGAAAGAAUUGUGAUGAAAGAAUGUGCCAUUUCUUUAAAGGAAAUUAAAUUGCACUACUGUUCAGUUUGAGGUAAAAUAUUUAUUUUUUAAUAUUUUUGAA